AAAAACAGGAAAGGGCAGACGGUGGAUGCCUAGGCUCUCGGAGGCGACGAAGGACGUGAUAAGCUGCGAUAAGCUACGGGGAUCGGCACAUACGAAUUGAUCCGUAGAUUUCCGAAUGGGGCAACCCGGUACAUUGAAGAUGUAUCACACCGCAGAGCGGUGAGCGAACGUGGGGAACUGAAACAUCUAAGUACCCAUAGGAGAAGAAAACAAAAGUGAUUCCCUUAGUAGUGGCGAGCGAACGGGGACUAGCCCAAACCUGCAUUGUUUCGGCAAUGCAGGGGUUGUAGGACUCCGAUAUAUGAAGACAAGGUUAGGAGAACGGUCUGGAAAGGCUGGCCGUAGAGCAUGAAAGCUGCGUAUCCGAAAACUUUAGUCGAAGUUAGGAGUAUCCUGAGUAGCGCGGGACACGUGAAAUCCUGUGUGAAUCUGCGGGGCCCAUCCCGUAAGGCUAAAUACUCCCGAGAGACCGAUAGUGAACCAGUACCGUGAGGGAAAGGUGAAAAGAACCUCGAACAGAGGAGUGCAAUAGACCCUGAACCCGUCUGCCUACAAGCGGUAGGAGCAGCCUUUGAGCUGUGACUGCGUGCCUUUUGCAUAAUGAACCUACGAGUUACUUUCUCUGGCAAGGUUAAGAGAUGAAGAGUCUCGUGAGCCGAAGCGAAAGCGAGUCUGAACAGGGCGAUUUAGUCAGAGGGAGUAGACGCGAAACCAAGUGAUCUACCCUUGGUCAGGUUGAAGGUUGGGUAAAACCAACUGGAGGACCGCACCGGUAAGCGUUGAAAAGCUUUCGGAUGAACUGAGGGUAGGGGUGAAAGGCUAAUCAAACUUGGAGAUAGCUCGUACUCCCCGAAAUGCAUUUAGGUGCAGCCUGUGGAGUUUCUUGUGUGAGGUAGAGCGACUGAUUGGAUGCGAGGCUUUCACCGGCUAUCAAGUCCAGACAAACUCCGAAUGCAUACAAGUAAGAUCCAUGGAGUGAGGGCAUGGGUGCUAAGGUCCAUGUCCGAGAGGAGAAGAAUCCAGACCAUCGGCUAAGGUCCCGAAAUAAUAGCUAAGUUGACCAAACGAAGUCAGAGUGCUAAGACAGCUAGGAUGUUGGCUUGGAAGCAGCCAUUCAUUUAAAGAGUGCGUAACAGCUCACUAGUCGAGUGCUUUGGCGUGGAUAAUAAUCGGGCAUAAGCUAUUUACCGAAGCUGUGGGAUGUAUAAUACAUCGGUAGGGGAGCAUUCUAGCGGCGCUGAAGGUAGGAGGACAACUUCUGCUGGAGCUUCUAGAAAAGCAAAUGUAGGUAUAAGUAACGAUAAAGGAGGUGAGAAACCUCCUCGCCGAAAGACUAAGGUUUCCUGAUCAACGCUAAUCGGAUCAGGGUUAGUCGGGGCCUAAGGGGAAGCCGAACGGCGCACCCGAUGGAAGAACCGGUUAAUAUUCCGGUACUAAUUAUGUGAGCGAUGUGGAGACGGAGAUGUGACGGUCCUGCCAGCUGACGGAAUAGCUGGUUAAAGGGUGUAGGUGUUGAUCGGGGUAGGCAAAUCCGCCCUGAGAGCUGAACCUGACAGUACUCUGAGUGCUUGCACAAGGAGAUAUGGACAAAGUAACGGCGCUCCCAAGAAAAUCCGCUAAGCAUAUUGCAUGAUUACCCGUACCAUAAACCGACACAGGUGGUUGGGUUGAGUAUACUAAGGCGCUCGAGUGAUUCGCGGUUAAGGAACUAGGCAAAAUAGUCCUGUAACUUCGGAAUAAAGGACGCUCACUUAACAGGUGAGCCGCAGAGAAUAGGCCCAGGCGACUGUUUAACAAAAACACAUGGCUAUGCAAAAUCGAAAGAUACAGUAUAUAGCCUGACACCUGCCCGGUGCUGGAAGGUUAAGAGGAGAUGUCAUCGCAAGAGAAGCAUUGAAUUGAAGCCCCAGUAAACGGCGGCCGUAACUAUAACGGUCCUAAGGUAGCGAAAUUCCUUGUCGGGUAAGUUCCGACCUGCACGAAUGGUGUAACGAUCUGGGUACUGUCUCAACCGCGAGCUCGGUGAAAUUGUAGUAUCGGUGAAGAUGCCGAUUACCCGCAACGGGACGAAAAGACCCCGUGAACCUUUACUAUAGCUUUGCAUUGGAUUUGGGUAACAAAUGUGUAGGAUAGGCCGGAGACUA
This 2144-nucleotide ribosomal RNA is filed under the name human metagenome. Its description in RNAcentral is "bacterial LSU rRNA". It matches the Rfam family "Bacterial large subunit ribosomal RNA", at positions 1 to 2157 of the family's 2925-position model. The record is from RNAcentral.